UCAGGUUCAUUAGUGCUGCUCUGUUACCGGUAAGGAACCAACCAUAGCAUGAUGUUGCUAGAGUUUGUUUGUUCUUGAUGUUAAUAUCUGGUGUGGAACAGUAAGAAUGGAUUGAUUGUUUGGUUUUCUGCUUCAGAUUAUUUUCUGUUAUUGUAGUUGUGAACACUGAUAGUAAUUCAAAAUUUGCCUCAAAAUGCCAUUCAGAAUACUGUGAUUUUAUUCUGCGCAAAAAAAAAAAACGAAUACCAUAAUUUACUUCAUGUCUAUGCAAGCCUCAAAAUGUGAUAUGGAAUACCAUAGUUUACUCUCUUGUCCCCUCACCUUAAGAGUUUAGUUUCCUUUUCGUGAUCUGUGCUAGUAAAUGGUGAUUCCUAUCCUGGUUAAAGUAAUACGGAGUGCUCUGUGAUCAGUUAUUCUAACUAGAAGCUGGCGCGUCCAGUCGUUUUUAUGACCUAAGUUGAUCUGUGUAAAUAAUAAAUCUAUGAACAGCAAAAUCAGCUGCAACUACUUGUAAAAUAUAACGGGAAUAUGGGAUACAGCCAGAGUUAUUACCGAAAAAGGCUUUCGCCCCGCUUUAUAUAUAAAGCACAGAUCACCAACAACCCAGUACAGCACACGCCACCAACACACACGCACACACCCAAGGCAGGAUACAAAGGCGCUGAGCACAGCAACACCACCCCUAGCACUACAAGAGCCACCGGGGGCCUUAAACGUGAACACGCCACCGUGAAGAGAAGAAGCUACAUACGACGCUCCGUGGGCUCCAAGGCAGUGCCAACAGGAAGGUUACGACACUGAAGCGCCGCCACCGCCCGACCCAAGGAUCAGGGUUUCCCCCGGAGCAACACGACGGGCAGCGAGAGUCGCGGCGACGCCUUCAAGAAGGGAACGAGCUUCGCCAUCGCCGGUCAGUCCGAAGAUAGAACAGGUUCUCACCCCGACCAAUAUUCACCGCCACCGAACGCCGCACCCUGGCUACCACGCCGCCCACACGGCCAUGGCCACCAGGCAACACCAAGUCACGGGCUUUGCCCAGGAGCACCGCGACACCACCACCAGGGCCGCCGCCCCCAGCAUCCAUGACCUUGACGCCACCGCACCCGUCACCCACCGCUACCCCAACCAAAGAGAUGAAUGGAAAGGAACCGCCUUUCGCACUCCUGAGCACUCCCCAGCGUCGAGACCCGAAGUCCGGCCAAACCUGGCCACCAUCGACCCGUCCUGCUGCCGGGCGCGAGACGAGCUCGGUCCUGCAGCCGGGCGCGAGACAAGUCAGAUCCUGCUGCCGGGCGCGAGACGGGCUCGGUCCUGCUGCCGGGCGCGAGACGAGUCCGGUCCUGCUGUCGGGCGCGAGACGAGCUCGGUCCUGUCGCCGGGCGCGAGACGGGCGAUGGGCGCCGCUGGGAGAGGGCCAACCCUUCGAUGAAGGUAGCGCUUGAACGACGGGGAGAGGAAUCGAAGGUCGUCAAGGGCGCUCACCGACAGGCAGACGCCGAAGAAGUCCAGCCGCCACCUUGAAACGACCCAGACCACCGCCACGGGCCACCACCACGCCGUGGAACCCCACAUCCACGCCGGGACCCCGAGGGACUGCUCCGAGCCGCCUGCUGACGGCCCAGUGCCAGAUCCAAGGAGCAGGCCGGCAACCGCCGUCGUCCCCUCCCGAAUCCGCGACCAGGACGAGCCCCGGCCUCCGCCCUGCGCCACCAGCCGGGUCCCCGGCGACAAAUCCAGCCAGAUCUGGCCGGAAACCGGCUCGCCCGCAACCACCAGCACCGCCGCCGCCGCGUCAGAUCCGCCGCCGCGUCAGAUCCGCCGCCGCCACGGGUGCGCCCACCACCGCGAGGCCCUCCACGCCGCCACCCCGGACCAGCAGCCCCGCCGCCGGACCAAGCGGCCACGCCACCGCGCCCCUCGAAAGCGCAGCGCCGCUGUCCGAGCAGGGCGCCCCGCGCCGCUGCCGCCCGAGCAGGGAGAGACGAGGACCCGCCGCCGCCAGCACCAAACGGGCUUCGCCCGCCGGCGCAAACGGGCGGCGGCGAGGGAGGAAGACGAGGGGAGGGGAGCCGGCCGACGACGCCCUAGGGUUUCCCCCCGGUCGCCCGCGGGGACGACACGGGAGGAGGAGGGAAGGAGAGGAGGGAAGGACAUACUCAACCACAGCCAGAGUUAUUCCUUUCCUUCUUUUAAGCUUCCUCCUGAACAGAGCAGCACAGAAACCCAACACACCAUACAAGUGGCCCUAGAUAUGACCAAAUGGCCUACGCGUGGUGACAUAGCUCAGCCUACGCAUCGUGGUGCCCAGUCGGUGCACAAUCAACACCACGUGGACAACCCAGUUAACGCCCUUGUUCGGUCCUUAAUUGUUUUAAUUUGCUCUUUUUGUACGUUGUGAGUUGGUGGACUUGUGAAGAACAAUUUACAAGAAUGCGGUAACCGUCUGAAGUAUUGUACUGUACAUCCUAAGGAUGUGAAUGAUAACUUUUGUUGUGGAUGAACUGUAUGAACACUUGGCUGCAGAUGGUUUAUCCAUUCACUUAUUUAGUUAGAAAUUUGAUAGGAAUGGGAAAACAGUGUAAGAUACUAAGAUCAAUUAUUUGGCCAUAUCUGCAAAGGUUAAUUGUCAAUUUUCUUUGUCCAUCGACGUAAUCUGCUGUUGAUUUAAAUUUCAGUUGAAUUCCGGUCUGUCAUUUAACCUUGUUUUAUUGUAGUUUAUGUGACAGCUAUGUCGAUUCAACUGCUGUGUUACGAAGUGCUGAUUACAAAUGGAGAGACUACGCGACAACUCUGUACUGAAAUCGGCAAACACUUGUUGUUCCAUCUCUUAGGCUUUAUCACAGUUCCCCCGCCCAAAAGAAGUCUUCAUCAGAGUUGAGAAUUUUUUGAGGUCUACCAGCUGAAAACAAUCUGUGAGCAUACACUAUGUGAUGCUCUCUGGUCCAAAAUGUAAACUCAGUACUACCUCUCUGUUCCCAGAAAACUUGGGCAUCAAUAUUAUUUCGC
This 3006-nucleotide long non-coding RNA is filed under the name Triticum aestivum (bread wheat). Its description in RNAcentral is "long non-coding RNA (TAES_LNC001866)". The record is from RNAcentral. Lineage: Eukaryota; Viridiplantae; Streptophyta; Magnoliopsida; Poales; Poaceae.